RNAcentral lists this long non-coding RNA (1122 nucleotides) under Pandoravirus neocaledonia. RNAcentral's name for it is "hypothetical ncRNA". The record is from RNAcentral.
CUCACGUCCCACGGACAUCCGUUGGCGCGCGCCCAUUUGAGAACGUCGAGGUGACCUCCGAGAGCCGCUUCGGCGCAAGUCUCUGCGUUCCACGGGCAUCCAUUGGCACGCAGCCACUGCAACACGCCCAGCUGUCCCAUGUAGGCUGCGUAGUGGCACAGGUCCUCCUUCAGCGGAUACCCGCCAGCGUGCAACCAUUCCACCGCGCCGAGGUGGCCGCCCGCGACCGCCGCGUACAUGCACGCCUCUCGAUUCAGCGGGCAUCUGUUCUCGCGCGCCCACUGGAGCACGCCCAAGUGUCCUCGUUCGAUCAGCGCCGUCGUAUAAGCACGCGGCGUCAGUUGCCGUGCCUCUGGGUGUCGAGCGCGUCGUGAACCCGACGCCAGCAGUUGGCGCCACUCUCUGCUCACCCACGCCGCCGCCACAGCGUCGAUCUCGUCCAAGUUUUCAAGAAUCAUCGACGUGAUUUCGUUCGGUAUCGGCAGCCCGCAGCCGUCGCCUUUUGGUUCGCUGCCUCCCUCCAUUGCGCGCUUUGUCUUUUUUUUAUCCUGCUUUUUCCUCUCUUGUUCUGGCGUAGGUCGCUUUUUCUUGCUUCGUGCCCGUCGCCGGCCACAUUGCGUGUUUUUUUUGUGCGCGCGGUCGCCCGACGUCGCCACUUUUGUCCUGUCGCUGUGUGUCUAUCUCAUGCCGAAAGUCGCGCGCCCGGCCAUUGGCCCUAUCGUUGGGUCGUUCGGUGUGCGCCCGCCUCUUUCUUUUUUUUUGCGAUCACCGCACGCGCCCACGCCGACAAUGUCUGCUGUCUUUUUUUUCGGUUGCAACAUUUCCUGUCGUGGCACCGCUAGAGGGCGGCGCGUUGGCCCAUCGCGCUCGCUGUGGCCCGCCCGUUCGUCUCCUUUGUCGAGCCCGACAAAAGACUCUUUUUUUGUUGUCGUCGUGUUCGGUAGAGCACAGGCUCUUUUUUGUCCCUUUUUUUUCCCCGAGAGAAUGGACCGGAAGGGAUGACACGCGAGCCGCGCAAAGGGAAAAAGAAAAAACAGUUUAAGGCACCUACCGGGAAUGACGACCCAAUGCGCCAUGGCCAAUGACACGAAUGUUUCCCGAUCAUAAAUGCACGUUUUCUCU